ACCUGGCUGGCUCAGUAGGUAGAGCAUGCGACUCUUGAUCUCGGGGUUGUGAGUUUGAGCCCCACGUUGGAUU
RNAcentral lists this transfer RNA (73 nucleotides) under Felis catus (domestic cat). It matches the Rfam family "tRNA". From Rfam's summary of the family: Transfer RNA (tRNA) molecules are approximately 80 nucleotides in length. Their secondary structure includes four short double-helical elements and three loops (D, anti-codon, and T loops). Further hydrogen bonds mediate the characteristic L-shaped molecular structure. tRNAs have two regions of fundamental functional importance: the anti-codon, which is responsible for specific mRNA codon recognition, and the 3' end, to which the tRNAs corresponding amino acid is attached (by aminoacyl-tRNA synthetases). tRNAs cope with the degeneracy of the genetic code in two manners: having more than one tRNA (with a specific anti-codon) for a particular amino acid; and 'wobble' base-pairing, i.e. permitting non-standard base-pairing at the 3rd anti-codon position. Lineage: Eukaryota; Metazoa; Chordata; Mammalia; Carnivora; Felidae. RNAcentral also lists the same sequence under 2 other names. The record is from Rfam by way of RNAcentral.